UCAUUGUGAAAUUGAACUCUAGUUUCGCCUGUCAACGGGGAUUGGCGACCAGGUGGUGCUUGUAUAAAUUUUGAUUUCCUUUUCUCCCAUCCAUCAAUGCUCCACACGCAUAACUGUGCAUCAGCCCCAGAAGACACCAGUACAUUUAAACUUUGGGAAAAUGCAAGUCCUGUUAUUCGACUUUGGUGGCCCUUAAGCUUUGUUUUAACCUCAUCAACUCUAACAUUAUAAGACAUUAUAAAUUUGAACUGAAGAAUCUUCCAUGCCAAUGGCAAUGAUAUUAUUAUCCUGAGGAUGGAAUGCCAAAAAUGUGGCAGCAGGAGGUGGGGACAUAAAUGUUGUCAUGACCUUGAAUGUCAUCAUGUUGAACAAAGAUACCUUCCCACCAGAUGCAGAC
Molecule: unclassified non-coding RNA, 397 nt
Filed under: Hevea brasiliensis (rubber tree)
Lineage: Eukaryota; Viridiplantae; Streptophyta; Magnoliopsida; Malpighiales; Euphorbiaceae
Source: RNAcentral